UAUACCCAAGCGAGUUAGAGAAAACGCCACACUUUGAGAUGAAUUAAGAGUCCAUUAUUGGCCAGGCGCGGUGGCUCAAGCCUGUAAUCCCAGCACUUUGGGAGGCCGAGGCGGGCGGAUCACAAGGUCAGGAGAUCGAGACCAUCCUGGCUAACACGGUGAAACCCCGUCUCUACUAAAAAUAUAAAAAAUUAGCUGGGCGUGGUGGCGGGUGCCUGUAGUCCCAGCUACUCGGGAGGUUGAGGCAGGAGAAUGGCAUGAACCUGGGAGGCGGAGCUUACAGUGAGCUGAGAUCGCGCCACUGCACUCCAGCCUGGGCGACAGAGCAAGACUCCAUCUCAAAAAAAAAAAAAAAAAAAAAAAAAAAAAAAGAAUCCUUUAUUUAAGCCAGCGGCCAAAGAGAUAGCUAACGCUCAAAAUUCUCUCGGCCCCGAGGAAGGGGCUUGAUUAACUUUUACACCUUGGUUUAGGAAGGGGAGGGGAACUCAAAUGCAAUAAUUCUACAGAAGUAAAAACAUGCAAGAAUCAAAAAAACAAAUGGUUAUAGAGAGAGAAACAAUUUAAAAGACAAAUGGUUACCAAAAAAGCAACGGAACCAGGUGCGGGGCUCUAAGUCCUUCAUUAGAGUUUGAUGUGGAUGCUCUGCCAGACACGGACUCGAGGCUUUAUGCUGUUAUCUCUUUGAGCAAAACCCUGGGAACUUCAUACACUGUUUGUUCCAGUACCUUAUCGGUUAAUUGGGCUCCUUUGAAAUGCUGAGGAUCUGCUUACAUGGGUUAAUGCCUUGAGGAAGGGGGUUGGGUAAGGAGCCCUUGAUGUCUUGUUAAUCAAGAGGCCAAAUGGAGUUUGUCCGGCUUUCCCAGCUAAGGGAGAGUCUUACUCAUAUGGGAAACAAGGCUGGGUAAUUAAGGAGACAAAAGGGAAAAUUUAAAAAUAACGAGUUAGAGUAAAAACAAGGUUAGGCAUUACAACAGUAAGUUAUAUUAAGACAAUAUUUUGGCCGGGCGUGGUGGCUCACGCCUGUAAUACCUAGCACUUUGGGAGGCCCAGGCGGGCAGAUCAUGAGGUCAGGAGAUCAAGACCGUCCUGGCUAACACUGUGAAACACCAUCUCUGCUAAAAAUACAAAAAAUUAGCUGGGCGUGGCGGGGGGCGCCUGUAGUCCCAGCUGCUCGGGAGGCUGAGGCAGGAGAAUGGCGUGAACCUGGGAGGCGGAGCUUGCAGUGAGCCGAGAUAGCGCCACUGCACUCCAGCCUGGGCAACAGAGCAAGACUCCACCUCAAAAAAAAAGACAUAAUAUUUUUAAUGUUUUUUAAUAGCUUAUAUUCUGUACAUCUUUUCACAUGUAGAAAUGUUAAUGGCUGGGCGCAGUGGCUCACGCUUGUAAUCCCAGCACUUUGGGAGGCUGAGGCAGGAGAAUCACUUGAGCCCAGGAGUUGGAGACCAGCCUGGGAAACAUGGCAAAUAAAAACCGCAGUUUAAACUCUGAGUUUCAAUCAGAAACUAACAGCUCUUGGAUUUCCCGGGGCUCACACUCCUCUGAAACAACUCACGAAGAGCCUGAGGAAGCAGUUCUCACUGGAAAAUGCAAGAAAGUAUGUUCCGGUGAAGACCCUCAGCUCUGUUCAUUUUCAUGAUGCAAAUGCCCACAAAGGUGGUUUUGACCUGACUGACCCUGUGCGAGGAGGCACAGUCUCCUCACCAGCAUAAGCACGUGGCAUCAGAUGCGGAGACAGUUUUGGACGUGGAUGGAUGUUUACACACUGAGACUCCUUCAGUGUCCCUUCAAGAAAAUGUGGACACAGUGUCUCUGAAGCCUGUUAGUGACCACAGAAUUAAUUUCACUAAUACCUUUCGGUCACCGACUCCUGAAAAGAGAACAUGUGAAUAUCAUGAGUCCGUUGAAAAAAGACAAAAUGAAUCUCACACAGAAUGUGGUCUAUGAAAAUGAAGAGGGCAGAGGGGUCAUGGACCUUGCCUGUCACACAUCUUUUACGGGCAAACAAAAUGUGAUGAGAUGACUGAAGACUUGAGAUCCGGUUAGUGAUACCACCAAUGAGAUGAGCACCACAGUUAUUCAAGCCAGCCCAGCCCUGUCCGAGGAAUAGGCUGUGGAAAAAUUGAGAGAAUUUCCAUUUCAGAAUAUAGGAAAAGGAACAUAAAGGAACAUUACCAUCUAUGAUCCCAAACGACUCUGAUAUGAAAAAAUGACUGCAACUACUUCUCUGAGUAGCAAGCCUAAAGAUGUAAAACCUAACCUUAGAUCAAGUGAAGAUCCUUCCUCCAAAAGUGGAGAUCUGUUGGAACCCAGUGAGGUGGAUUGGACGUCAAACCUCAAGAAAGUGGACCCGAUCGGGCUGGCUCUCCUGAGCAAGCCAGGUCUGAGUCGUCAGACGGGGUCAGCUGCUCACACCUCCCUGUGUCCUGCCAGGAGACUGUAGAUGAUGAUCAAAGAAUCAUCACUAAAGCUACGUCAACUGCAAGUUGUGAGCUCAGAGGCCGGGACCUGUUCCCAGCGGAACCAUUCAUGGCUCUGCAGCUGAGACGCAGAACAUGGGGCUGCGGUGCCUGCACUCUUGAUGUCACCCCUCCCAGCACAGCUUCCUUCAGCCAGAGGUAUUGAAGAACACUCCCUUCAGCUGGAAGUGUCGCCCUGCCUCAGUGCCAGGCUGGCAGGGCCAUAGCCUGUGGCUUCUCAGGAGGCCAUCCCUAUCCAGCUGUCACGGGAGAGCAUGUGCAGAACUCUGUGGCUGUGGAAUUUGGGACCAAAUACCAGCUCUGGAUGGAUGGGCACCUCUUCCAUCUGCGACCCAUAUUCUGAUGUCUCACAUCGGAACCUGCCAAGCACAGCGAAGCCUUUUCCUGUGCAUUCUAUUGGUACAAACUGGAAAGAAACCACGAGAUUCAGGAAUGACAUCAGUACUGGAAACAGAACAGAAAGCCAUUCUUGAUUUUGGUGACUGGAGUUGUGGAGGCUGGAAGUCUCUGCCAAUAAAAGCACUGAACCGGACACACACCACUUACCAAUCAAGUUGAUUCUCAAUGUUAGCACCGUGGCCUGGCAAGAUCGGACGUUUUCCGAGGAACCCGGCUGAGCUCCUGUGAGAGCUGCUCCCUGCACUGAUGUGGUCCCUUGGCUGGCAGGCUGCUCUGUGAUCAACCAGGUGACACCUGCCUGUUAUGAGGGACAGGUAGGAGAGGAUGGGCUUUCCAUCAAAACAAACAAACAAACAAAAAGUCCCAAGAAGGAACUCGGCUCUUCAGAGAUUCAGGACUCAGGAGAAGACUUCGUGGUGACAGUUGACGUAGAAGUUGACAGCCCAAACCCCACACCAGUUCUUAGAAGUAUUGAUCUCCAAGAAAGAGCAGAAAGAGCUACAACUCCUGCUCCCAGGGACUUACAGGUCCCAGAAUGAGAAAGUCCCUCUUUAGUGGAUCCAGAGAAUCUAUUCAUUAAACCUGGAGAAGAACAUGAGGUUAUAGUUUCUUUUUCUCCAAGGGAUCCCAAAGUUUGGGAGGAAAGGAUCUAAAAAAUGUUUGUGCAGCCAUCUGGACCUCAGUAUGAAGUGGUGUUAAAAGGUGAAGUCCAUUCUUCAGGAAGUAAACCUCUGCCACGUGGAUCAUGCUCAGACAUCCUAUUGAAGUUUGUCCAACAAUUUCUUGCUUUGGAAGGUGUCCCUCUUGGUGGAACACAGUUUCACCUUUUGCUGGAACUCAGAGCUACAAAUGAUGCUUAAUGUACCAACGCCUUCUGACUGAGCUCCUCUCUGCCCUGAAUACAAGAGACCCUAAUAGUUAUGUGGAAAUAUCAUCGCCCCGUUCAGCAUGAAGAAGUUACAAAAGACGGACCUUCAUCCUUCUGCAACCCUUAGGAUUAAGGGUCCUCUUGUAAAAGGGAGGGGAAAUAUGUAAGAAGCAUUCAAACCAGAGCGACUCCAUUUUGAACAAGGGCUAAGAAAAAUGAAGCUGGGUCCUGUUGGGCUGCAUGCCCAGGAGGUUAAGCAUUCUUAGCCUCAAGAUGUUUACAAUUGAGGGAACAGAUUAAUAAUGUUUCCUAAACAGACUCAGGACUUAACAGACUCAGGAACGUCUUGAUACUUUGAGAACAAAAGCACUUCUAGUUUUAAAUACGCAUUGUACCUAGGAUGGAUGCUUUUCUUACUUUUGGAAAUGCCCUACCCUGUCUAUGGAGUCACUAUUCAUUCCCUCCUUUAUUAAAGUUGCUUCUAUUUUGC
This is a long non-coding RNA of Gorilla gorilla gorilla (western lowland gorilla), 4234 nucleotides long. RefSeq lists it as uncharacterized. The transcript has 12 exons. The record is from RefSeq and is a predicted model, not a curated record. Lineage: Eukaryota; Metazoa; Chordata; Mammalia; Primates; Hominidae.